GGAGUUAGCCGGUGCUUCUUCUGUGAGUGAUGUCCUUCCUGCCGGCUAUUAACCCGCAGGCCUUCUUCCUCACUGAAAGUGCUUUACAACCCGAAGGCCUUCUUCACACACGCGGCAUGGCUGGAUCAGGGUUGCCCCCAUUGUCCAAUAUUCCCCACUGCUGCCUCCCGUAGGAGUCUGGGCCGUGUCUCAGUCCCAGUGUGGCUGAUCAUCCUCUCAGACCAGCUACGGAUCGUCUCCUUGGUGAGCCGUUACCUCACCAACCAGCUAAUCCGACAUAGGCUCAUCCGAUAGCGCGAGGCCCGAAGGUCCCCCGCUUUCCCCCGUAGGGCGUAUGCGGUAUUAGCCUGGGUUUCCCCAGGUUAUCCCCCACUACCGGGCAGAUUCCUAUGCAUUACUCACCCGUCCGCCGCUCGCCACCAGGGAGCAAGCUCCCCGUGCUGCCGCUCGACUUGCAUGUGUUAGGCCUGCCGCCAGCGUUCAAUCUGAGCCAUGAUCAAACUCUGA
This 507-nucleotide ribosomal RNA is filed under the name uncultured bacterium. RNAcentral describes it as "partial 16S ribosomal RNA". The record is from RNAcentral.